Molecule: ribosomal RNA, 157 nt
Filed under: Williopsis sargentensis
Lineage: Eukaryota; Fungi; Ascomycota; Saccharomycetes; Phaffomycetales; Wickerhamomycetaceae
Also listed under: 4 other names
Description: Cyberlindnera sargentensis 5.8S ribosomal RNA
Rfam family: 5.8S ribosomal RNA
About the family: 5.8S ribosomal RNA (5.8S rRNA) is a component of the large subunit of the eukaryotic ribosome. It is transcribed by RNA polymerase I as part of the 45S precursor that also contains 18S and 28S rRNA.
Source: RNAcentral
AAACUUUCAACAACGGAUCUCUUGGUUCUCGCAACGAUGAAGAACGCAGCGAAAUGCGAUACGUAAUGUGAAUUGCAGGUUUUCGUGAAUCAUCGAAUCUUUGAACGCACAUUGCACCCUCUGGUAUUCCGGAGGGUAUGCCUGUUUGAGCGUCAUU